Vicia faba (fava bean) is the source of this 279-nucleotide non-coding RNA. Lineage: Eukaryota; Viridiplantae; Streptophyta; Magnoliopsida; Fabales; Fabaceae. The record is from the annotation of a GenBank genome assembly.
AUGUCCAUGGCGCUAAUCUUCUUCUCCGUGUGUUCGUUGCUCGGCCUAUCGCUCAGACGCGAUGCUCCGUCCCAUACUUUGUCCGUCUCCGUCUUCAACCGCAUGUUUCAUUCUACUUCAUCAGCUUCGGUUCUGAUUUCACUUCGGUUGGGAUCUCACGGUGGAACUCGUGGCGGUGAAGAUAGCAAGCCACAACGAUAUGAACUCAGGGAUCACAGAGGUGUUGAACCGAUUGAAGUUGAUGUUUGCAAAGAUGAGGAACGAUUUUGCAGAGGAUGA